UACGUAGGGUGCAAGCGUUGUCCGGAAUUAUUGGGCGUAAAGAGCUCGUAGGCGGUCUGUCGCGUCGGCUGUGAAAACUCGGGGCUCAACCCCGAGCCUGCAGUCGAUACGGGCAGACUAGAGUCCGGCAGGGGAGACUGGAAUUCCUGGUGUAGCGGUGAAAUGCGCAGAUAUCAGGAGGAACACCGGUGGCGAAGGCGGGUCUCUGGGCCGGAACUGACGCUCAUGAACGAAAGCGUGGGGAGCGAACAGG
Molecule: ribosomal RNA, 253 nt
Filed under: uncultured bacterium
Lineage: Bacteria
Description: partial 16S ribosomal RNA
Rfam family: Bacterial small subunit ribosomal RNA
Source: RNAcentral